UAUCCCCUCACUAAAUCCCUAUGCCAAAAUCAAGUUAAGUUUAUCUGUUACCAAAACCAUCUUAUCCAGCUCUACUCUCUUGAUCUAGUCUAGUAGUGUUUCCCGGCAAGAAUUCAAAAACCCUAAAUCCUAAACUCAAAGUCCGCGCAUUGACAAAGUCCAGAUGUCGUGCUUCCUGUCGGCGACCGCCGUGGCAAUGGCAGCUUUUGUGUUCGUCGAUUGUCUCGGCGGGGCUCGAGCUUCAGAAAUCCUCAGUUCUGUUCUUCGAUUGCCUCAGCUGGGGCUCCACUUAUUUUGUUUGCUUGGAGCAGAUUCAUGUUAUGGAAUCUUGAUUCAUGUUAUGCAAUCUUGAGUGGAAGUGUGCUAUUCAACUCGAAAAAUAAAAUAUCCUUUUUGACAUGUUUGUGGUCAAUACUAAAUUACUAUUUGGAGGGAGUUCUUGACUAAAGAAGUACUUGCUUGAGCAUUCGUAUUGUUCUUUUUCAGGUUUCUUUCCAGAGGUUUUCCGUGGCAUAUGGAAUGGCACAGAUGUUGCAAUCAAGGUUUUUCUAGAACAAGAUUUAACUCCUGAAAAUAUGGAAGAUUUUUGCAAUGAGAUAUCUAUUUUCGGAGUUACAUUGUUUCUUGGUGCGUGCAUGAAGCCUCCACGGUUGUCAAUGGUUACAGAAUAUAUGGAAUUGGGAUCGUUGUAUUACUUGAUACAUUUAAGUGGUCAAAAGAAAUAGCUUAAUUGGCGGGGAAGAUUGAGGAUUUUAUGUGACAUAUGCAAGAUAUGUAUGGUUGAAAUACUACUUUGAAGGCCAAAGGUGGUCUCUCUGUAGUAGUUCCUGGAGGAACUUGGUGGCCUUCACUGUGUCUAUGUUCCAAAAUGUAUGGUCACAUCUCAGUCGCUGAUGUGUGUCACAGAGAAAAUUUACAGAGCAGGAUGAGUUUGUGGUUGUGGCUUCUGAUGGGUUAUAUAGGAAGUGAGCUUACAACGGUCAAGAAUCAAAUGCAGAGUUUUUUGCCUAUAUUACUUCUAGAGAAGAGAAUCCGGAACAUCUUGCUGAUAUGUCUAUUGCUUUGGUACACCUUAUACUAAUCAGCACCAAAUGUUAGGAGUGACUUGUCAUCUCCAAACGAUGUAUUUGGAUCAAAUGGUGGAAGCAGGAUAUGUUAGUAAGAAUUUUCGCCAACCUAAUU
Long non-coding RNA from Vigna unguiculata (cowpea), 1182 nucleotides. RefSeq lists it as uncharacterized. The record is from RefSeq and is a predicted model, not a curated record. NCBI's taxonomy places the organism in Eukaryota, Viridiplantae, Streptophyta, Magnoliopsida, Fabales, Fabaceae.